RNAcentral lists this ribosomal RNA (455 nucleotides) under Dendropsophus cf. stingi. Its description in RNAcentral is "partial 16S ribosomal RNA". It matches the Rfam family "Bacterial large subunit ribosomal RNA", at positions 1817 to 2484 of the family's 2925-position model. The record is from RNAcentral. Lineage: Eukaryota; Metazoa; Chordata; Amphibia; Anura; Hylidae.
CGCCUCUUGCAACCCAUAAGAGGUCCAGCCUGCCCAGUGAUAAAAUUCAACGGCCGCGGUAUCCUAACCGUGCGAAGGUAGCGUAAUCACUUGUUCUUUAAAUGAGGACUAGUAUGAAUGGCACCACGAAGGUUAUACUGUCUCCUCUUUCUAAUCAAUGAAACUGAUCCCCCCGUGAAGAAGCGGGGAUAAAAUUAUAAGACGAGAAGACCCUAUGGAGCUUUAAACUAAUGCAACACUAGCAUUAAUACCACUAUAUUCCAGAAUUAUAAAAACCAUUUCAGCUAGCAUGAUUGCUAGUUUUAGGUUGGGGUGACCAUGGAGCAUAAAAUAACCUCCACGCAGAACGGGACCAUUCCUGAGCCAAAAGCUACGACUUUAAGCACUAAUAAAUUAACAUUAAUUGACCCAAUAUAUUGAUCAACGAACCAAGUUACCCUAGGGAUAACAGCGCA